GGAGUCAGUGACUAGAGGAGCUACCUGCAAGAAACAUCAAUGAGAUACAAAACUCUUGGCAAUAUGGAACCCUUGCACCAUAACGACAACCAAUGGUGACCCUGAUGUAAUUUGGGAGAAAUGACCCUGUGGAUUCAGGGAAGCAGGAUUUGACUGUAUGACCUCAUGGACUGGGGGAAACAGGGAAACAUUAAGGCAGUCACACAAAGUCCAGAGAGACCCUGGUCAAGCAUUCAUCAAGCUUUUGGAUUGUAAAGUUCAUGCAGAUCAGAACCACUGUAACAUGUCAAACUCCUGCUGUCCUUGGAAGAUAAAUCCAGAGAAAUUUGAAAAAAACCCAAAAUCUACUCAACAUAAAGAAGAAGAUAAAUAUGUGAGAUUAUACUUGGCUUAUGAAAAGACUGGGCAUAUAAUGGAUUCUGAGGUGAUGUCGUCUGACUUUGAAAUAUCUGAAAAGAUUUUUAGUGACUACUAGAAAUAUUAUUUAGUGGUGAAGACAAUCUACCUUGAGAUCUUGUGCUAGUCAUCCACAGAUAAGUGAAAGGUAGAAAUGCCAAAGGCACAUUUCCUUUUUAAAUGGAAGCUACCAAAAAUUCAUUGAUGACCAUAACAUUCAUUUGCUGUACCUACCACACAUGGAUGUUAUCAGAUUCUCAACCACCACAUGAUAUUGUGUUUAGAAAAUACACAAACUUAAAACCUCGUUACUGCAACAUAUCUUGUCCAACACACUGAAGACAGCCUGUCAACUUCCCAAAUGUUGCACUACAAUCUUGUUUUAGUUCAGCUGAGCCAUUAGAUUGUUUCAGAAACACAUUGUGUGUAUUAUUUAGACACAUGCCAACAGCAAUAAGACACUCUAAGCAUAACUGACAGCUGCCUUAUCAUGCAAUGAA
Long non-coding RNA from Zonotrichia leucophrys gambelii, 896 nucleotides. RefSeq lists it as uncharacterized. The record is from RefSeq and is a predicted model, not a curated record. The transcript has 3 exons. Lineage: Eukaryota; Metazoa; Chordata; Aves; Passeriformes; Passerellidae.